CUUAUGAUGGCGACCGGCGCACGGGUGCGUAACGCGUAUGCAACCUACCUUUUACAGGGGCAUAACACUGAGAAAUUGGUACUAAUUCCCCAUAAUAUCUGAGACGGCAUUCGUUUUGGGUUGAAAACUCCGGUGGUAAAAGAUGGGCAUGCGUUGUAUUAGCUAGUUGGUGAGGUAACGGCUCACCAAGGCGACGAUACAUAGGGGGACUGAGAGGUUAACCCCCCACAUUGGUACUGAGACACGGACCAAACUCCUACGGAAGGCAGCAG
RNAcentral lists this ribosomal RNA (272 nucleotides) under uncultured bacterium. Its description in RNAcentral is "partial 16S ribosomal RNA". It matches the Rfam family "Bacterial small subunit ribosomal RNA", at positions 78 to 354 of the family's 1533-position model. The record is from RNAcentral.